This 211-nucleotide long non-coding RNA is filed under the name Elaeis guineensis (African oil palm). Its description in RNAcentral is "long non-coding RNA (EGUI_LNC053311)". The record is from RNAcentral. Lineage: Eukaryota; Viridiplantae; Streptophyta; Magnoliopsida; Arecales; Arecaceae.
CCCUCUUUUUUUAUGAAUGUCAUCUCUGUAGGCCUUUUGAUCAAAUUUGGUUACAAAUUUAUAAUAAAGAAUGAUUUUUAUGAUAUCAUUAUGAAUGAUACUGCAAUUAUGCUUGGAUAAUUAAAACAUAGCAUAUACAUAAUAUCAUGGCAUAUUAGUGUAAUGUACACAGCCAGCAAGCAUCCUAAAUUAGAUAAUGUCAGUGAAUCCU